CCUGGCUCAGGAUGAACGCUGGCGGUGUGCCUAAUACAUGCAAGUCGAUCGGGCGUAGCAAUACGUCAGAGGCGUACGGGUGAGUAACACGUAGGUAACCUACCUUUAAGACUGGGAUACCCAGACGAAAGUUUGGCUAAUACCGGAUAACAACAUUUGAGACAUCUCUUUUGUUUGAAAGGCGCUGCAAGGCGCCACUUUUAGAUGGACCUGCGUCGCAUUAGCUAGUUGGUGAGAUAAAAGCCCACCAAGGCUGGGAUGCGUAGCCGAUCUGAGAGGAUGACCGGCCACAAUGGGACUGAGACACGGCCCAUACUCCUACGGGAGGCAGCAGUAGGGAGUUUUCGGCAAUGGGGGAAACCCUGACCGAGCAACACCGCGUGAGUGAUUGAAGGUCUUCGGAUCGUAAAGCUCUGUUACGAGGGACGAAUGAUCGCUUUAGGAAAUGAGAGCGGUUUGACGGUACCUCGCCAGAAAGCGACGGCUAACUACGUGCCAGCCGCCGC
This 506-nucleotide ribosomal RNA is filed under the name uncultured bacterium. RNAcentral describes it as "bacterial SSU rRNA". It matches the Rfam family "Bacterial small subunit ribosomal RNA", at positions 18 to 518 of the family's 1533-position model. The record is from RNAcentral.